This 1506-nucleotide ribosomal RNA is filed under the name metagenome. Its description in RNAcentral is "bacterial SSU rRNA". It matches the Rfam family "Bacterial small subunit ribosomal RNA". The record is from RNAcentral.
AGAGUUUGAUCAUGGCUCAGGACGAACGCUGGCGGCGUGCCUAAUACAUGCAAGUAGAACGCUGAAGAGAGGAGCUUGCUCUUCUUGGAUGAGUUGCGAACGGGUGAGUAACGCGUAGGUAACCUGCCUUGUAGCGGGGGAUAACUAUUGGAAACGAUAGCUAAUACCGCAUAACAAUGGAUGACCCAUGUCAUUUAUUUGAAAGGGGCAAAUGCUCCACUACAAGAUGGACCUGCGUUGUAUUAGCUAGUAGGUGAGGUAACGGCUCACCUAGGCGACGAUACAUAGCCGACCUGAGAGGGUGAUCGGCCACACUGGGACUGAGACACGGCCCAGACUCCUACGGGAGGCAGCAGUAGGGAAUCUUCGGCAAUGGGGGCAACCCUGACCGAGCAACGCCGCGUGAGUGAAGAAGGUUUUCGGAUCAUAAAGCUCUGUUGUAAGUCAAGAACGAGUGUGAGAGUGGAAAGUUCACACUGUGACGGUAGCUUACCAGAAAGGGACGGCUAACUACGUGCCAGCAGCCGCGGUAAUACGUAGGUCCCGAGCGUUGUCCGGAUUUAUUGGGCGUAAAGCGAGCGCAGGCGGUUUGAUAAGUCUGAAGUUAAAGGCUGUGGCUCAACCAUAGUUCGCUUUGGAAACUGUCAAACUUGAGUGCAGAAGGGGAGAGUGGAAUUCCAUGUGUAGCGGUGAAAUGCGUAGAUAUAUGGAGGAACACCGGUGGCGAAAGCGGCUCUCUGGUCUGUAACUGACGCUGAGGCUCGAAAGCGUGGGGAGCGAACAGGAUUAGAUACCCUGGUAGUCCACGCCGUAAACGAUGAGUGCUAGGUGUUGGAUCCUUUCCGGGAUUCAGUGCCGCAGCUAACGCAUUAAGCACUCCGCCUGGGGAGUACGACCGCAAGGUUGAAACUCAAAGGAAUUGACGGGGGCCCGCACAAGCGGUGGAGCAUGUGGUUUAAUUCGAAGCAACGCGAAGAACCUUACCAGGUCUUGACAUCCCGAUGCUAUUUCUAGAGAUAGAAAGUUACUUCGGUACAUCGGUGACAGGUGGUGCAUGGUUGUCGUCAGCUCGUGUCGUGAGAUGUUGGGUUAAGUCCCGCAACGAGCGCAACCCCUAUUGUUAGUUGCCAUCAUUCAGUUGGGCACUCUAGCGAGACUGCCGGUAAUAAACCGGAGGAAGGUGGGGAUGACGUCAAAUCAUCAUGCCCCUUAUGACCUGGGCUACACACGUGCUACAAUGGUUGGUACAACGAGUUGCGAGUCGGUGACGGCAAGCUAAUCUCUUAAAGCCAAUCUCAGUUCGGAUUGUAGGCUGCAACUCGCCUACAUGAAGUCGGAAUCGCUAGUAAUCGCGGAUCAGCACGCCGCGGUGAAUACGUUCCCGGGCCUUGUACACACCGCCCGUCACACCACGAGAGUUUGUAACACCCGAAGUCGGUGAGGUAACCUUUUGGAGCCAGCCGCCUAAGGUGGGAUAGAUGAUUGGGGUGAAGUCGUAACAAGGUA